UCCUGUGGAAAAAAAAGCACUAAACGG
RNAcentral lists this small RNA (27 nucleotides) under Bombyx mori (domestic silkworm). Its description in RNAcentral is "ovarian small RNA-27986". The record is from RNAcentral. Lineage: Eukaryota; Metazoa; Arthropoda; Insecta; Lepidoptera; Bombycidae.